GAUGUUGUAAUCUGCAAGAGUCCGACCAUCCUCAAGCUGUUUUCCAGCGAAGAUGAGUCUCUGCUGAUCCGGAGGGAUCCCUUCCUUGUCCUGAAUCUUAGCCUUGACGUUAUCAAUUGUGUCUGAGCUCUCAACCUCCAGGGUAAUAGUCUUGCCUGUCAAUGUCUUCACAAAGAUCUGCAUACCACCACGCAGACGCAACACAAGGUGAAGGGUAGAUUCCUUCUGAAUGUUGUAAUCAGCUAAAGUCCGACCAUCCUCAAGCUGUUUACCAGCGAAGAUGAGCCUCUGUUGGUCUGGUGGGAUCCCUUCCUUGUCCUGAAUCUUAGCCUUGACAUUAUCAAUUGUGUCUGAGCUCUCCACCUCCAAAGUUAUGGUCUUGCCGGUUAGGGUCUUCACAAAGAUCUGCAUACCACCUCUGAGACGAAGCACCAAAUGGAGAGUAGACUCUUUCUGGAUGUUGUAGUCAGCAAGAGUUCUUCCGUCCUCAAGCUGCUUACCGGCAAAGAUAAGCCUCUGUUGGUCCGGAGGAAUUCCUUCCUUGUCCUGGAUCUUGGCUUUGACAUUAUCAAUGGUGUCUGAACUCUCAACCUCGAGGGUAAUUGUUUUACCAGUGAGGGUCUUCACAAAGAUCUGCAUACCACCACGAAGACGAAGGACAAGGUGAAGUGUCGACUCCUUCUGGAUGUUGUAGUCAGCAAGAGUUCUUCCAUCCUCAAGCUGCUUACCGGCAAAGAUAAGCCUCUGCUGGUCCGGAGGGAUUCCUUCUUUGUCCUGAAUCUUUGCUUUGACGUUGUCAAUAGUGUCAGAGCUCUCAACUUCCAAAGUAAUGGUCUUGCCAGUCAGAGUCUUGACAAAGAUCUGCAUACCACCUCUUAAACGAAGAACCAAGUGGAGGGUUGAUUCUUUCUGGAUAUUGUAAUCGGCCAAGGUACGACCAUCUUCUA
This 947-nucleotide long non-coding RNA is filed under the name Arabidopsis lyrata. Its description in RNAcentral is "long non-coding RNA (ALYR_LNC002092)". Lineage: Eukaryota; Viridiplantae; Streptophyta; Magnoliopsida; Brassicales; Brassicaceae. The record is from RNAcentral.